RNAcentral lists this ribosomal RNA (253 nucleotides) under uncultured bacterium. RNAcentral describes it as "partial 16S ribosomal RNA". It matches the Rfam family "Bacterial small subunit ribosomal RNA", at positions 524 to 776 of the family's 1533-position model. The record is from RNAcentral.
UACGAAGGGGGCUAGCGUUGUUCGGAAUUACUGGGCGUAAAGCGAGUGUAGGCGGUCUAAAAAGUCGGGUGUGAAAGCCCCGGGCUCAACCCGGGAAGUGCACUCGAAACUGCUAGGCUAGAGUAUCGGAGAGGUUGGUGGAAUUCUCGGUGUAGAGGUGAAAUUCGUAGAUAUCGAGAGGAACACCGGUGGCGAAGGCGGCCAACUGGACGAAUACUGACGCUGAGACUCGAAAGCGUGGGGAGCAAACAGG